RNAcentral lists this non-coding RNA (115 nucleotides) under Hathewaya proteolytica. RNAcentral describes it as "Clostridium proteolyticum FMN sequence". It matches the Rfam family "FMN riboswitch aptamer (RFN element)". Rfam says of the family: The RFN element is a highly conserved domain that is found frequently in the 5'-untranslated regions of prokaryotic mRNAs that encode for flavin mononucleotide (FMN) biosynthesis and transport proteins. This element is a metabolite-dependent riboswitch that directly binds FMN in the absence of proteins. RNAcentral also lists the same sequence under 1 other name. The record is from RNAcentral. Lineage: Bacteria; Bacillati; Bacillota; Clostridia; Eubacteriales; Clostridiaceae.
UUUACUCUUCAGGGCGGGGUUAAAUUCCCCACCGGCGGUAUAGCCCGCGAGCCGAAAGGCAUGAUUUGGUGUGACUCCAAAGCCGACAGUAUAGUCUGGAUAGAAGAAGAGACGU